RNAcentral lists this ribosomal RNA (386 nucleotides) under Odorrana margaretae (green odorous frog). RNAcentral describes it as "partial 12S ribosomal RNA". It matches the Rfam family "Bacterial small subunit ribosomal RNA", at positions 794 to 1394 of the family's 1533-position model. Lineage: Eukaryota; Metazoa; Chordata; Amphibia; Anura; Ranidae. The record is from RNAcentral.
GCCCAGCCGUAAACAAUUGAAUCACAACCAUAAGCGCCAGGGAAUUACGAGCCAAGCUUAAAACCCAAAGGAUUUGACGGUGUCCCACCCCCCUAGAGGAGCCUGUUCUAUAAUCGAUGAUCCCCGCUACACCCGACCAUUUCUUGCUUAUCAGUCUGUAUACCUCCGUCGAAAGCCUACCAUGUGAACGCCCCCACAGUAGGUUCAAUGAUCCCCGUCAAUACGUCAGGUCAAGGUGCAGCUUAAGAAAUGGGAAGUGAUGGGCUACAAUUUCUAACCUAGAACAAACGAAAGGCUAUGUGAAAUCAUAGUCACGAAGGCGGAUUUAGUAGUAAAAAGAAAAUAGAGUGUUCUUUAACCUGGCUCUGGGACGCGUACACACCGCC